Molecule: unclassified non-coding RNA, 159 nt
Filed under: uncultured Uwebraunia
Lineage: Eukaryota; Fungi; Ascomycota; Dothideomycetes; Mycosphaerellales; Dissoconiaceae
Source: RNAcentral
CCAGAAGACGCCUCGGCGGAAACGCCGGGGCCUUCGUCCAACCCUUUGUGAACGUAUCUCUAUUGCCCCGGGGGAACCCCGCCUGUCAUGGGCGUGGGCCCCGGUGGCCAACUCAAACUCUGUUUUUAUUGCCGUCUGAGUAACAAACAAAUCAAAACA